RNAcentral lists this long non-coding RNA (4659 nucleotides) under Nicotiana benthamiana. Its description in RNAcentral is "long non-coding RNA (NBEN_LNC034021)". Lineage: Eukaryota; Viridiplantae; Streptophyta; Magnoliopsida; Solanales; Solanaceae. The record is from RNAcentral.
CUAAGUAUAAGUCUAUUAGCUAAUAUUGCAUCGAAUUUAGCUUAAUAUAUAUGUGUGUCUCUAUAUAUAUAUUAAAAUGAAUUAAAUCUUAAAUUUAUACUACACAUGUACAUAAUUUUAAAUUGAAAUAAAAUUAUUUUAAUAAAUCCUAAAGUUAAUUUUUUUUUCAAAACGAUAACCAAAGAUGGUCGCCAUUUUGGUCAAACGGUCAAACCUUGGUGACUAACAUUGGUCGCUAUUUUGAAAAAAAAGUCAAAAAUAAUUUGCUACCAAAAUAGUGACGCAGUAGCAAAAACGGGUUUCAGGUCCCAUUCUUUCAAAAAUAUUUCCCAAAAAUAUUUCUUCUCUCUCUCACACUCAUACCCCCCUCCCUCCGACUCCCAGCAGCAUUGACCCCCCUCCCCCCCGCCACCGCCGACCGUUGGCGGCAGCAGCACAAACUCUGGCGACCUCCACUCCAAAGGUUAGUUUCUCUCUCAUUUCUUUGUUUUUUCCGAAAAACAAUGAUUUUAGGGUUCAAAUAGGGUUCAAAGUUAUAUAUUAUUUGUUCAAAGUACCCUCUUCUGUUGUGCCUAUGCCUAUUCCACAGCCUCUACCCCUGGGCUAUUUUGAGCUGCCACAGCAUGUCACGCCCUACACCUUCAUGCAGACCUCGGGUAUUUUGUAUUCAAAGUAACCUCUUCUGUUCUGCCUAUGCCUAUUCCACAGCCUCUACCCCAGGGCUAUUUUGAGCUGCCACAGCAUGUCACGCCCUAGACCUUCAUGCAGACCUCCGGUAUUUUGUCACAGCGCCAUAGGACUAUGCGCCCGACAUACAGUCCAACGGCCUCACUACCAGGGAGACAACAACCAGCAGCAUCACUUGGAUUGCAUCGAUCCAUGUCACAGCCACAUGGAUCACAACCAUCAGUGUCAAAGCCAAUUGGGUCACAGCAAUUAGUGUCAUAACCACUUGCGAUCCAUGCAGCUAUGUCACAGUCACAGGGCUCACAUCUAUCUUCAUAACGGACAACACUUAUUGGAGGCCUUCGCCUGCGGGAUAGUAGCUCUGACCCCCUACUCCUUCCACACAUGCCUCUGAUGUACAUGUUUCGGAUGAUGAUGCUGAUGUUGCUGCUGACGAGGAGGUGCAUUAUGAUCAGUAUGGCAGGAUAAUCAUAGUCCCUAAGGGUGAUGGGUAAGAGUUAUUUGUUAUUUCUAUGUUUAUUUGGUUUGUACAGUUUUUACUAAGAUAUUAACUUGUUUUAUUUAUUAAAUUGCAGGUUCAUCCCGAGUGAUAUUAUUACGAGGAUAAUCACUAGAGAAACCAGAAAGCUUUAUGACGCAUGUUAUGCGUCUUGGAAUAUUAUUGCGAGGAUAAUCACUAGAGCAACCAGAAAGCAUUAUGAAGCAUGUUAUGCGUCUUGGCAUGAAUUCUCAUUCUCACAGAAGGAGGCAAUUUUCAAUGAAUUUAAGGUAUAAAUAUUCUGUUAAGCAGCAUAAUUAUUUAUAUUUAUGAUAUUUUCCAUAUAAUGUUUAACUUUUGAAAUACAGAGCAAGUGUGUAUGAGAACACCAGGAUAGCGCGGACGUGGCUACAAAUUUUCAUCUGAAACAUCGCAAGCGGUUGUCUCAUAUUUUCUCCAAAGCUAGACAGAUGAACCAGAAGCCUGACUGGUUGCUUCAGAUCUUUUGGGAUGAUUUUCAAAUGCAAUGAUUUACUGCAGAUUUCUUAGAGAAGAACAAAAAAGGAAAGAAAGCUCGCGCAUCUGAGAAGGUAAGAUCCUUGCACACUAGAGGUGCAGUCAUCCUAGGGACAACAAAAAGAAGAAUGAUACAUAAUUGCUUAAUUUAUUUUAAUUUUAAAAGCAUAUCAAUUCUAUUAAUUAAUUAAAAUUUAUGAGUUUUUAGGAAAAGAAGUUGGGUCGUCCGAUGAACCAAGAUGAGCUAUUCAAAGAGACUCAUAUUGUGAAGAAGAAGAAAGAGACAUAUCAAGAAAGAUGGGUCUAGGGGCGAGCCUCGGCUAUACAUGUAAGUUUUCACUUUUCAGAAAAUCUCCUAGCUUCUGGAUAUUUUCCGAUUCCCCGCUCUCGGCCAUUAUCGGUAGAGGCUAGCCGUCCCCAUGGUCGUUCUCCCGUCCCCCAAGUGGUCGUUCCUCCCGUUCUCUCCGUGAUCAUUCUUCUCAUCAUCGACAAGUAGACCCUUCUCUAUGCCGUCAUGAUGAUGAAAGUUCAUCAGACGGUGAUGAUAAUUAUGUACCAAACAUUGAUACUUUUAGCCAAUUUUAACAACACAAAUACAGUCAUUUUUGAUUGGGUUGUAAUAAGAGUAGUUAACUUAGUUUGGUAGUUCUAUUGUACUUUACACUUUUUUGCUUUUAAUGUUGUUUUUGUGUUGUCGUUGUUGUUGUUGUUGGGUUGUUGUUUGGUGUUGUUGUUGGAAUUAUAGUUAGAAUUGUUGUUGUUGUUGCUUGGUAUUGUUGUUGGCAUAAAAUUUCUAUUUAAGACAAUUAAUAACCUAGCAGGUGGUGUAGCUGCCAACAGGCAUUUGCUGCCAAAAAUAUACCAAUAAAAGCGACCAAAUUUGGUCACUAUUCCAAUUAAAAAAUCAUUUCUUAAUUAAUAACCUGGCAGGUGGUGUAGCUGCCAACAGGCAUUUGCUGCAAAAAAUAUACCAAUAAGCGACCAGCGUUGGUCAUCAUUGAACCAAGAUUUCUUAAAAAGCGACAAAAUUUGGUCACUAUUCUAUUUAAAAAACCAUUUAUAGAAACAUAGCGACCAAAGAUGGUCGCUUAGGAUUUAAAUAGAAUCAUUUCUUGUAGUUAUUGACCAACUUUGGCCGCUUAUUUUAAAUAAAAAAUAAAAAAAUCAAUAAUAAAGACACAAACAUUGGUCUCCAAUAUCCAUAUUUAAUAAAAUAAUAUUUUUCUUAGAGACCAAAGUAGAUCGCUUCUUUUUCAUUUUUAAUAAAUAAAUAAUAUAAUUUAAAUCUGGAAACGAACUUCUGUCGCCAAAAUUAUAUUAUUAAAAUAAUAAAGCGACCAAAGUGGGUCGUUUCUUUCUUUACCCGGAAUAUUAGGUUCUUUGACCUUAAAGACCAAAGUUGGUCGCUAACUGGCGAUCAACUUUGCUCCCUAAGAUAAAGGGACCAGCUUAAUAUUGACCAGGCCUGUUUGAUCGCUUUUUGGCGAAUAAGCGACCAAGGUUGGUCGCUUUUUGUGGUCGCCAUUUAGCAGAUUGCUAGUAGUGUUAGUUUCACAAGGAGUAGCAUAAUAUGGUUGGGAAUUAUGAUUUUGAUUUUAAUUACUUGAUGGCUUGUAACCAUUUACAUAAUUUCAAGGCCCAAGAAAAUUUUUAAUGCUUUAUUAUUUUUAACCUUAACAUAUAAAUAUUUUUUACAUAUAAAUUUAUUCGCUACGGAUCAGUAUAUUUUUAAUUUAUUUAUAUAAACAAAAAAAUUUACCCCAAUUAUCGGUACAAUUGUUGAUUUAUAUAAUGACCUACGGUUUUAUUAAAAGAAAAUUAAAAGUCGGUUCGACUGUAAAGUCAUUUACAUAAUUAGGCGACUUAUUAGGUAUAAUUAAAGGUAAUCUAUUGAUAAACAUUGACUGGUAAUUUUAAAAUAAUAUUUUAUAUAAACUGAAAAAUUUACCCCAAUUAUCGGUACAAUUGUUGAUUUAUAUAAUGACAUACGGUUUUAUUAAAAGAAAAUUAAAAGUCGGUUCGACUGUAAAGUCAUUUACAUAAUUAGGCGACUUAUUAGGUAUAAUUAAAGGUAAUCUAUUGAUAAACAUUGACUGGUAAUUUUAAAAUAAUAUACCCUGACUUCUAAUAUGCUAGCGCACAUUAAAUUCAUUAUACUCUAAUAGUACAAUUAAAAAGAAUUCUUACACUAUCACAAUAAUAACUUAAAUCGGUACAAUAUAUACCUCCCCUAUCGUCUUAGGCAUGUGAUAGAUCGUAGAUUAGUUUGAGCCAAACUGAGUAUGCCUAACAUAUUAAUGUCUGAUGUUAGUCAAGGUUUUGAUCGCUUCUCUUUCAUUAGUAAUAAAUAAAUAAAUUAUAUAGAUACGAUGAACUACGGGUUCAAUUCCCGAAAGAUUCUCAAGACAUUGAUAUGAUGACGAUGAACUACGGGUUCAAUUCCCGGAAGAUUCUCAAGACAUUGAUAUGAUGAACUUUGGGUUCGAUUUCCGGAAGAUCCUCCAGAUAUUCAAAUGUGAUUGACUACGGGUUAGAUUCCCGAGAAAUUCACUAGACAGUUGAGGAAAAAGGACUACAGGAUGGUAUCAUGGGAGGUUCACAUGGCACCAUAUGUACAUAAUUUUAUAUUGAAAUAAAAUUAUUUUAAUAAAUCCUAAAGUUAAUUUUUUUUCAAAACGAUGACCAAAGAUGGUCGCCAUUUUGGUCAAACGGUCAAACCUUGGUGACCAACAUUGGUCGCUAUUUUGAAAAAAAAGUCAAAAUUAAUUUGCUACCAAAAUAGUGACCAAAAUUGGUCACUAUUUUUUUAGCAGUAGCAAAAACGGGUUUCAGGUCCCAUUCUUUCAAAAAAAUUUCCCAAAAAUAUUUCUUCUCUCUCUCACACUCAUACCCCCCCUCCCUCCGACUCCCAGCAGCAUUGACCCCCCUCCCCCCCGCCACCGCCGACCGUUGGCGGCAGCAGCACAAACUCUGGCGAC